Molecule: long non-coding RNA, 1589 nt
Filed under: Marmota monax (woodchuck)
Lineage: Eukaryota; Metazoa; Chordata; Mammalia; Rodentia; Sciuridae
Source: RNAcentral
UGUUUCAAGAUCAUGAAAGGAGAGUGGGAGGGAUGGAGGGAGGGAAGGAAGCCUGGGAGUCUCCGUCACCCCCACAGUCCCUCCUCCCACCCUCACCCCACUCCUCUGCCCCAGUCCUGGAUUGAGCCAGCACUACUCCUGGGUGCUGCUACCUCUGCGCCAGGCUGCUGGGCACCCUCUCCCCCUCCUCCUCCACCCUCCAACCUUUCCUUUCCCUUUCUUCUUUAGGGGCUGUCAUCUUGCCACUGUGACCAGGCUUCUGGGCCCUGUGAGGACAUAGUGGAGUCUUCUGCUUCCAAGAGGAGGCCAUCUUUAGGGGAUGGGUUAUGUGGGAAUCUGGGAAGGCCAGGGGUGGCCUUGACUAAUGUCCAAGAGAGAUGCCUUCUCAUCCCCCCUUCCUCCCUGUCCUCUGCCCUCCCACUCCCUCAGGCUGUCGUGAACUCUUGGUGGGCUCAGAGCCACAGAGUAGCUGUCUUAGCCCGUUGCUGCCUCAGUUUCCCCACUGGCCCACCAGGAUGGCAUUGGAUUUUCUGUCUGUCUCUUCCUUUACGACUGUCCCUGUUUUCUUCCUGGUCCUUAAUUUUUUUUAGUCCAUCAAACAAGAUUCUAGAAUCUCUUCCUUUGUCUCUCCUUAGGUCUGUCAUUUUUCCUAUGUCUCUCCUUAGGUCUGUCAGAUUAUUUUUAUUGUCUUUUUUAAAUGGUGAAAGCCUUUUACCUAGAAUUUAGAAAAGAGGAGGAAAAGCCAGGUAUGGUAGUGCACACCUGUAAUCCCAUCAACCGUGGGGGCUGGGGCAGGAGGAUCGCAAGUUGGAGGCCAGCCUCAGCAUCUUCGUGAAACAUAGUCUCAAAAUAAAAUAAAAAGGGCUGCAUAUGUAGCUAAGUGGCAGAGCAUCCCUGGGUUCAAUCCUUGCAGGUAGGGUGGGCUGGGGAAGAAAACAGAAGGGGAAGAAAGCACUCAGGAGUAUUUUCCUCAGUCUCUCUAUUUCUGCUCCAUUCCUUACUCCUUUCUGGGUUUGGAGAGCUCCAUGUUGUGUUCCCACCUAGACACGCAGGUGGAAAUGCAAGGGAGGAAAAGGAAAGAGUCUUUGGUGUCAACCUCUCUCCCCAGGCAUGAAGGUACAAGGCUGCUCUGAGUCUCUGUUUCCCACCUGCCCCUCUCUAGGGUCCCCCCCAUGAUCUUUUACAGUCAGGUCAGCUGAGGUUGGUCCCAGCGAGGCCACGAGUCACCUGAGCAAGCUUGGACAAGAGGCUGCUCCACUCUGGCUUUGGUGUCUUUGUCUGAGUGACAAGGAGCAGCACUGGGACACCUUGAAGGUCCUCUUCCAGCACUGAUGAUGCCGCGAUCCUGUUCUCGGCUGCCGUCUCCUCAGCUCAGGGAGGCAGCAAAGUUACCUGCGUGAGAACCGCUACCUGGAGACCUGCUGGGAAGGAGACCAGGGCGCAGUGCUCUUGCCCUGUUUACCUGCAUGUGGCCCACGGAAACGAGCCUUGUCCCUUUAACUCUUGGCAUAGAAUCCAAGAAGGACUUAGGACUUGAGCUAACACUGCCUUGGUCUCUUACAGGGAGAUGCCAUGACGGGGGGGGGGGG